This 225-nucleotide ribosomal RNA is filed under the name uncultured prokaryote. RNAcentral's name for it is "partial 16S ribosomal RNA". It matches the Rfam family "Bacterial small subunit ribosomal RNA", at positions 524 to 748 of the family's 1533-position model. The record is from RNAcentral.
UACGUAGGGUGCGAGCGUUAAUCGGAAUUACUGGGCGUAAAGCGUGCGCAGGCGGUUCGUUGUGUCUGAUGUGAAAGCCCCGGGCUCAACCUGGGAAUGGCAGUGGAAACUAGGGGACUGGAAUCUGGCAGAGGGGGGUGGAAUGCCGCGUGUAGCAGUGAAAUGCGUAGAGAUGCGGCGGAACACCGAUGGCGAAGGCAGCCCCCUGGGCUGAGAUUGACGCUC